This 253-nucleotide ribosomal RNA is filed under the name uncultured bacterium. RNAcentral describes it as "partial 16S ribosomal RNA". It matches the Rfam family "Bacterial small subunit ribosomal RNA", at positions 524 to 776 of the family's 1533-position model. The record is from RNAcentral.
UACGAAGGGGGCUAGCGUUGUUCGGAAUUACUGGGCGUAAAGGGCGCGUAGGCGGUUCUUUAAGUCAGAAGUGAAAGCCCUGGGCUCAACCCGGGAAUUGCUUUUGAAACUAUUGGACUCGAGUAUAGGAGAGGUGAGUGGAAUACCCAGUGUAGAGGUAAAAUUCGUAGAUAUUGGGUGGAACACCAGUGGCGAAGGCGGCUCACUGGCCUAUUACUGACGCUGAGGCGCGAAAGCGUGGGGAGCAAACAGG